GGAUGACACUUUUCGGAGCGUAAACUCCUUUUCUUAGGGAAGAAUUCUGACGGUACCUAAGGAAUAAGCACCGGCUAACUCCGUGCCAGCAGCCGCGGUAAUACGGAGGGUGCAAACGUUACUCGGAAUCACUGGGCGUAAAGGGCGCGUAGGCGGAUUAUCAAGUCUCUUGUGAAAUCUAAUGGCUUAACCAUUAAACUGCUUGGGAAACUGAUAAUCUAGAGUGGGGGAGAGGCAGAUGGAAUUGGUGGUGUAGGGGUAAAAUCCGUAGAUAUCACCAAGAAUACCCAUUGCGAAGGCGAUCUGCUGGAACUUAACUGACGCUAAGGCGCGAAAGCGUGGGGAGCAAACAGGAUUAGAUACCCUGGUAGUCCACGCCCUAAACGAUGUACACUAGUUGUUGGGGUGCUAGUCAUCUCAGUAAUGCAGCUAACGCAUUAAGUGUACCGCCUGGGGAGUACGGUCGCAAGAUUAAAACUCAAAGGAAUAGACGGGGACCCGCACAAGCGGUGGAGCAUGUGGUUUAAUUCGAAGAUACGCGAAGAACCUUACCUAGGCUUGAUAUCCAACAAAUUCUGUAGAGAUACGGAAGUGCUAGCUUGCUAGAAUGUUGAGACAGGUGCUGCACGGCUGUCGUCAGCUCGUGUCGUGAGAUGUUGGGUUAAGUCCCGCAACGAGCGCAACCCACGUAUUUAGUUGCUAACAGUUAGGCUGAGCACUCUAAAUAGACUGCCUUCGUAAGGAGGAGGAAGGUGUGGACGACGUCAAGUCAUCAUGGCCCUUAUGCCUAGGGCGACACACGUGCUACAAUG
RNAcentral lists this ribosomal RNA (812 nucleotides) under uncultured bacterium. RNAcentral's name for it is "bacterial SSU rRNA". It matches the Rfam family "Bacterial small subunit ribosomal RNA", at positions 406 to 1232 of the family's 1533-position model. The record is from RNAcentral.